Molecule: small RNA, 1801 nt
Filed under: Pan troglodytes (chimpanzee)
Lineage: Eukaryota; Metazoa; Chordata; Mammalia; Primates; Hominidae
Description: retained intron
Source: RNAcentral
CUUGGGAAACUCACAUACUCUCCCUCUGUUCGUGUUCUCCACAAUGAUUUAUUUCAUAUUCUCCUCAGUGGUUUUAUUCUUUCUCUUAGUAUUUUCUUAAGGUCUUGACAAAGCCAUGUGCCUCUUCCCAAGAACCACCAAGGAAAAGAGUGGCUAUUAUUUUUUUCCUGGGCCUGAGUUAGUUUAAUGGGUAAACAGGGUGCAGAUUAAAGUGAGUGUGGCCCUCAAGCCCAUUUACUCAGACUUCUGGAGGAUUUUGAAAGUUGCUGUUCUAAAAAAAUGAUCACACCUAACACUGGAAUGGGCCACUUAAAAUGUGCGGAGAGGGUGGAGAGUGGAAACGCCCCACCCAAGGCUGUUCUCUCACCCAGUCCCACCUCUCCCAGGUAACUUGUUAAUAAUUAACUGUAUUUUGUGUUUUUUCAGUGCACAUUUUGAAAAAUUAUAUGAAUUUUAAACACAGAUGGAAUCAUACUUUACAUUUACUUUCUGUAACUUCUUUUUUCCACUUAAUAUUUCUUGGACAUCUUCCCCUGUCAGUACACCUGUCUCAUUUUUUUUACAGCAUAGAAUUUUCCAUGGUAUGGCUGUACCAUAAUUUAUUUAACCCAUCCCUUAUUGGUGGACAUUUAGGUUGUUUCCAGUAUUUUGCUAUCACAACGCUUCCGUGAACACCUCGAGCACAUGUGCAAGUAUACCUGGGGGAUAGAUUCUGCAGUGUAAUUGCUGUGCCACAGGGUAUGACCAUCUUCCAUUCUGAUAGAUGUUGAGACCGCUGCUUCUUGAAACCUUAGGGCCCAGGCCUACCUGGGGCAGGGGAGGAUAGUGGGGGUGGGGGAGGAGAUCCCUACAACUGGUUGUUCAUCUUCCCCAGCUGCGGCUUGAUGAGACCCAGGAGGCAGAGUUCCAGGCCCUUCGGCAGCAGCUUCAACAGGAGCUGGAGCUGCUCAACGCUUACCAGAGCAAGAUCAAGAUCCGCACAGAGAGCCAGCACGAGAGGGAGCUGCGGGAGCUGGAGCAGAGGGUCGCGCUGCGGCGGGCACUGCUGGAGCAGCGGGUAAGGGGCCCAGCCUCCAGGACUGGGGAGGGAGGGUGGGCUCCUGCCCCCAACUCUAACCUCUGUUCCGGAUGCCCCAGGUGGAAGAGGAGCUGCUGGCCCUGCAGACAGGACGCUCUGAGCGAAUCCGCAGUCUGCUUGAGCGGCAGGCCCGUGAGAUCGAGGCCUUCGAUGCGGAAAGCAUGAGGCUGGGCUUCUCCAGCAUGGCUCUGGGGGGCAUCCCGGCUGAAGCUGCUGCCCAGGGCUAUCCUGCUCCACCCCCUGCCCCAGCCUGGCCCUCCCGUCCCGUUCCCCGUUCUGGGGCACACUGGAGCCACGGCCCUCCUCCACCAGGCAUGCCCCCUCCAGCCUGGCGUCAGCCGUCUCUGCUGGCUCCCCCAGGCCCCCCAAACUGGCUGGGGCCCCCCACACAGAGUGGGACACCCCGUGGCGGAGCCCUGCUGCUGCUAAGAAACAGCCCCCAGCCCCUGCGGCGGGCAGCCUCGGGGGGCAGUGGCAGUGAGAAUGUGGGCCCCCCUGCUGCCGCGGUGCCCGGGCCCCUGAGCCGCAGCACCAGUGUCGCUUCCCACAUCCUCAAUGGUUCUUCCCACUUCUAUUCCUGAAGUGCAGCGGGGAGGAGCAGAUGAGCUGGGCAGGGCAGGGGUGGGUGGAGCCUGACCCUGGAGGGCACUGAGCUGGAGGCCCCUGCAAGGGUAGGGGACAAGAUGUAGGCUCCAGCUCCCCUCAGACCUCCUCAUCUCAUGA